RNAcentral lists this ribosomal RNA (252 nucleotides) under uncultured bacterium. RNAcentral describes it as "partial 16S ribosomal RNA". It matches the Rfam family "Bacterial small subunit ribosomal RNA", at positions 524 to 776 of the family's 1533-position model. The record is from RNAcentral.
UACGGGGGGAGCAAGCGUUGUUCGGAAUCACCGGGCGUAAAGGGAGUCUAGGCGGUUUGGUAAGUGGGAUGUGAAAUCCCCGGGCUCACCCCGGGACCUGCAUCCCAAACUGCUGAGCUUGAGUACAGGAGAGGGUGGGGAAUUCCAGGUGUAGCGGUGAAAUGCGUAGAUAUCUGGAGGAACACCGGUGGCGAAGGCGCCCACCUGGCCUGCUACUGACGCUGAGGUGCGAAAGCGUGGGGAGCAAACAGG